Molecule: long non-coding RNA, 735 nt
Filed under: Marmota monax (woodchuck)
Lineage: Eukaryota; Metazoa; Chordata; Mammalia; Rodentia; Sciuridae
Source: RNAcentral
UCUCCCCUUACUUGUGUCUACAGGGCCCAGGAGUUGUCUUUUGUACUCGGUAAGGACUUGGCUGGGAGGCCUAAAACCACCCUCCAACAAGGGCACAGAAGGAAUCACUUCCAUCUUCUCUUGUCUCUAGGCUCCUGCUUGUCCAUGUCAGCUCAGUCCUUCAUAAAGGGUAAGUUUUCUAGAGAGAACCAUUCUACCAUUGGCUCCUCUGUUGAGAUGACCCCCCCUUCACUUCCUUCAAAUUUUCAGCCACCUCUGGACAUUGCUUUCAAGAAUCCCCAGCUCCAGCCCUAGCCCCAGCCCCAGCCUCACCCCAGCCUGUCCUAAUCCCCUCUGGCAAUUCUCUUCUCCUCCCUGAGUUUCUACUUUCCUUUAUUUCAGGCAUUGAGGUGUCCACGUGGAAGACACCCCACUGGCACUGCAAGGUGGCUUCAGAUGAGCUCUUCUUAAUCUUCCUACCCUGCAGCCUCCUCCUGCUUCCAUAUACUUUGGACCUCUUGCGAGGCCUUCAGCAAAUGUAUGGAGAAUGUCAUUAAAAUUUUGCUUAGAUAAUGUUCACUUUAAUAUUACAUACUCACACAAAAAGGUCAAGCAGGGUGCAUUUUCCAUCCCUGAGUUCAAACUGUAGGAAUAGCUUUGCCAGAAAGGAAGACCUCAGACAGGCCCUGUGGCACAUCCUGUAAUCCCAGAGGCUUGGGAGGCUGAGGAAGGAGGAUCAUCAAAAUAGAAAAAAAA